This 402-nucleotide ribosomal RNA is filed under the name uncultured Gammaproteobacteria bacterium. RNAcentral's name for it is "bacterial SSU rRNA". It matches the Rfam family "Bacterial small subunit ribosomal RNA", at positions 355 to 774 of the family's 1533-position model. Lineage: Bacteria; Pseudomonadati; Pseudomonadota; Gammaproteobacteria. The record is from RNAcentral.
UGGGGAAUAUUGGACAAUGGGCGAAAGCCUGAUCCAGCAAUGCCGCGUGUGUGAAGAAGGCCUGCGGGUUGUAAAGCACUUUCAGUUGGGAAGAUAAUGACGUUACCAACAGAAGAAGCACCGGCUAACUCCGUGCCAGCAGCCGCGGUAAUACGGAGGGUGCGAGCGUUAAUCGGAAUUACUGGGCGUAAAGCGCGCGUAGGCGGCUUCGUCAGUCAGAUGUGAAAGCCCCGGGCUUAACCUGGGAAUUGCAUUUGAUACUGCGGGGCUAGAGUAUGGUAGAGGGUAGUGGAAUUCCAGGUGUAGCGGUGAAAUGCGUAGAUAUCUGGAGGAACAUCAGUGGCGAAGGCGGCUACCUGGACCAAUACUGACGCUGAGGUGCGAAAGCGUGGGGAGCAAACA